GUAGGAUAUAUGGGCUAAUGUCGAUCAGAUGGACGUGUGGGUUGAAGAAUUGAGGUUAUAAGAAUGGAAAACCAAAAAGGGUUUUGCUCAUUGCUUAGGGAUUCCAAGGUGCUUUUUCACUUUGAGCUCUAUGCACAUCCAAUGCAACUACAGCUUCCCAGUCAAAACCUUAAGAGACCUUUCUGCUGGACUUGGGUUUGCUCAUUGCUUAGGGAUUUCUAGCUGCUUUUUCACUUUGAGCUGUAGUCACAUCCACCACCUCUGCAUAAUGUGUAGGUUACACAUGAUCUGUGACAGUAUUUAUUCAAAGUGUGCUGGUGUUGGAGUUUCUUC
This is a long non-coding RNA of Rhododendron vialii, 333 nucleotides long. RefSeq lists it as uncharacterized. The record is from RefSeq and is a predicted model, not a curated record. Lineage: Eukaryota; Viridiplantae; Streptophyta; Magnoliopsida; Ericales; Ericaceae. The transcript is spliced from 3 exons.